This 75-nucleotide transfer RNA is filed under the name Dermacoccus nishinomiyaensis. Its description in RNAcentral is "tRNA-Arg". It matches the Rfam family "tRNA". Rfam says of the family: Transfer RNA (tRNA) molecules are approximately 80 nucleotides in length. The record is from RNAcentral. Lineage: Bacteria; Bacillati; Actinomycetota; Actinomycetes; Micrococcales; Dermacoccaceae. RNAcentral also lists the same sequence under 1 other name.
GCCCCCUUAGCUCAGGGGAUAGAGCACCGCCCUCCGGAGGCGGGAGCGCAGGUUCGAAUCCUGCAGGGGGCACAA